GGCGCUAUAGUGUAGUGGUCAUCACUCGGGAUUUUGAUGUGUGUCUUCCCGUAACCCAGGUUCGAACCCUGGUAGCGCCA
Molecule: non-coding RNA, 80 nt
Organism: Pterulicium gracile
Lineage: Eukaryota; Fungi; Basidiomycota; Agaricomycetes; Agaricales; Pterulaceae
Source: the annotation of a GenBank genome assembly